Molecule: long non-coding RNA, 287 nt
Filed under: Medicago truncatula (barrel medic)
Lineage: Eukaryota; Viridiplantae; Streptophyta; Magnoliopsida; Fabales; Fabaceae
Description: lncRNA gene26388
Source: RNAcentral
GUUUAUCUCUAGAAGUUUGAUGCAAAUUAAUUUUUCAAUCCUCCCUAAAUCCUUAAUUAAUCGUAAGGCCACUAUUUUACUUAAAUAACUAACUGCCUAAUUGUCUUUCGGACCACAACGAUGAUAAAUCACACAUCACACAUCAAGAGGUCAUAGUUUAAUUAUUUCGAAAACAAUUGUUUUGAUGCAUAGCCAAUGGUUAGCUGCUAAAAGUAGUACUCUAGUUAAGGACGAAGCAGAUAGAAAAAUCCUAAUAAUUCUAAGCCACUCCUAAGUUGACGUUAACU